RNAcentral lists this ribosomal RNA (475 nucleotides) under uncultured organism. Its description in RNAcentral is "partial 16S ribosomal RNA". It matches the Rfam family "Bacterial small subunit ribosomal RNA", at positions 335 to 801 of the family's 1533-position model. The record is from RNAcentral.
ACUCCUGCGGGAGGCAGCAGUGGGGAAUUUUGGACAAUGGGCGAAAGCCUGAUCCAGCAAUGCCGCGUGAGUGAAGAAGGCCUUCGGGUUGUAAAGCUCUUUUGUCAGGGAAGAAACGGUGAGAGCUAAUAUCUCUUGCUAAUGACGGUACCUGAAGAAUAAGCACCGGCUAACUACGUGCCAGCAGCCGCGGUAAUACGUAGGGUGCAAGCGUUAAUCGGAAUUACUGGGCGUAAAGCGUGCGCAGGCGGUUUUGUAAGUCUGAUGUGAAAUCCCCGGGCUCAACCUGGGAAUUGCAUUGGAGACUGCAAGGCUAGAAUCUGGCAGAGGGGGGUAGAAUUCCACGUGUAGCAGUGAAAUGCGUAGAUAUGUGGAGGAACACCGAUGGCGAAGGCAGCCCCCUGGGUCAAGAUUGACGCUCAUGCACGAAAGCGUGGGGAGCAAACAGGAUUAGAAACCCCAGUAGUCCCAUGAU